CGGCGUGCUUAACACAUGCAAGUCGAACGCUGAAGCCCAGCUUGCUGGGUGGAUGAGUGGCGAACGGGUGAGUAACACGUGAGUAACCUGCCCCCUUCUUUGGGAUAACGCCCGGAAACGGGUGCUAAUACUGGAUAUUCACUGAUCUUCGCAUGGGGGUUGGUGGAAAGGUUUUUUCUGGUGGGGGAUGGGCUCGCGGCCUAUCAGCUUGUUGGUGGGGUGAUGGCCUACCAAGGCUUUGACGGGUAGCCGGCCUGAGAGGGUGACCGGUCACAUUGGGACUGAGAUACGGCCCAGACUCCUACGGGAGGCAGCAGUGGGGAAUAUUGCACAAUGGGCGAAAGCCUGAUGCAGCGACGCCGCGUGAGGGAUGGAGGCCUUCGGGUUGUAAACCUCUUUCGCUCAUGGUCAAGCCGCAACUCAAGGUUGUGGUGAGGGUAGUGGGUNAAGAAGCGCCGGCUAACUACGUGCCAGCAGCCGCGGUAAUACGUAGGGCGCNAGCGUUGUCCGGAAUUAUUGGGCGUAAAGGGCUUGUAGGCGGUUNGUCGCGUCUGCCGUGAAAUCCUCUGGCUUAACUGGGGGCGUGCGGUGGGUACGGGCUNACUUGAGUGCGGUAGGGGAGACUGGAACUCC
RNAcentral lists this ribosomal RNA (633 nucleotides) under Schaalia odontolytica. RNAcentral's name for it is "bacterial SSU rRNA". It matches the Rfam family "Bacterial small subunit ribosomal RNA", at positions 40 to 670 of the family's 1533-position model. The record is from RNAcentral. Lineage: Bacteria; Bacillati; Actinomycetota; Actinomycetes; Actinomycetales; Actinomycetaceae.